AUUGAACGCUGGCGGCAGGCCUAACACAUGCAAGUCGAACGGUAACAGGAAGACGCUUGCUUCUUUGCUGACGAGUGGCGGACGGGUGAGUAAUGUCUGGGAAACUGCCUGAUGGAGGGGGAUAACUAUUGGAAACGGUAGCUAAUACCGCAUAACGUCGCAAGACCAAAGAGGGGGACCUUCGGGCCUCUUGCCAUCGGAUGUGCCCAGAUGGGAUUAGCUAGUAGGUGGGGUAACGGCUCACCUAGGCGACGAUCCCUAGCUGGUCUGAGAGGAUGACCAGCCACACUGGAACUGAGACACGGUCCAGACUCCUACGGGAGGCAGCAGUGGGGAAUAUUGCACAAUGGGCGCAAGCCUGAUGCAGCCAUGCCGCGUGUAUGAAGAAGGCCUUCGGGUUGUAAAGUACUUUCAGCGGGGAGGAAGGGAGUAAAGUUAAUACCUUUGCUCAUUGACGUUACCCGCAGAAGAAGCACCGGCUAACUCCGUG
This 490-nucleotide ribosomal RNA is filed under the name uncultured bacterium. RNAcentral describes it as "partial 16S ribosomal RNA". It matches the Rfam family "Bacterial small subunit ribosomal RNA", at positions 30 to 507 of the family's 1533-position model. The record is from RNAcentral.